Molecule: transfer RNA, 92 nt
Filed under: Actinobacteria bacterium IMCC26256
Lineage: Bacteria; Bacillati; Actinomycetota; Actinomycetes
Also listed under: 5 other names
Description: tRNA-Ser
Rfam family: tRNA
About the family: Transfer RNA (tRNA) molecules are approximately 80 nucleotides in length. Their secondary structure includes four short double-helical elements and three loops (D, anti-codon, and T loops).
Source: RNAcentral
GGAGGGAUGACAGAGUGGCCGAAUGUGCUCGCCUGCUAAGCGAGUAGGGGGUUUAUACCUCCUCGAGGGUUCAAAUCCCUCUCCCUCCGCCA